UGGUUCUGGCUAGAGUCAGUAGAGUCAGAUCCCAGCUGCCCCCGGGCCCUCCUCAGCCUCCAUGGAUGAUUGAGCAGACUGCUCCAAAUUACCUUCUCCUAGAGGAAGCCUGGGCCUCAUAGGAGGGCCUGAGAUGGGCCCCUGAUAAGGCAGCUCGUCCUGUCUGGCUCCCAGUCCACACCCAUGCAGAUGGGCCUGUGGUGGAUGCCACCAAGUUCAAAGGCACUGUUCUCACAGGAAUGAGAAAAGGGUAAGAGAUGGAACUACCUUUGUGGUGUGUGUGUGUGUGUGUGUGUGUGUGUGUGUGUGUGUGUGUGUGUGUGUGUAGGUAUUUGCUGGAUUUUUCCUGUCACCAUUGUGUUUUCACGCACUGGAUGUAGAAUAUCUGAAAACAAUCCUCGGAAAUAGAGUCUUUCACCUACGGCCAGAGGCUGGAGCCAGGCCCAGCGUGGGGAGAGGUUAUGUUCCCCCAGUGGGAAUCUGGUGACUCCCGUUAAGGAGGCUCACUAGUGGGCAUGGCGGGGCUCUCGCAGCCUUCGCCCCCACAACUGGUGCUCUGAGAUCCCCUCAACCAACGAGGCCACGGGCUUUGAUGGGAAGUACCUUCUGCCCACCAGCUCCUUCCAUGGGAAAGCUUCACCUGGAGGCCAAACCUUAUCCUCUGACCCUGUAAUCUGCCUCCAUCUCAAGGUCUUCAGCUCGAACCCAACCUGAUAAUCAAGGCUAUCCCAGGGUUGCCAGGCUAGGGGUUGAAUAGGAGUUGCAGCUGCCGGCCUGCACCACAGCCACAGCCAUGCGGGAUCCAAGCCAGGUCUGCGACCUACACCACAGCUCACAGCAACCCUGGAUCCUUGACCCACUGAGGGAGGCCAGGGAUCGAACCCACAUCCUCAUGGCUACCAGUCCGGCUCGCUACCGCUGAGCCACCAUGGGAACUCCCCCUGGGCUCUUGAGAAGGUGCCUUGUGGUGGUGGCAAGCUUUUGGGGGAGACAGUCAGAUUUCCACCCAUCCUGAGGGUGAGGCUGCUGGGUGCUGGUGGUGGGGAGCUGACAAGCUCUGAGGCCAUAAGUAAGAGGUGAGGAGGUCCCCCCGCCUCAGGCCUGCAGUGGCCUCUUCUUUGGGAAAGGGGAGCACGUCUUUUACAGAGGCCUGCCUGGCGCUGGGAUGGAUCGCCCAGCUCCAGGGACCUCCCAUUUACAGCAAGUGCCACAGCAAUGCUAACGGGGGUCGUCCAGGCCUCUGCAGUGUGACCUCUCCUGAAAGCCAGGCCAAGCCCUGGGCCAACACCCACAGGCUGAAAAGGGGACCAGGAACCCUGAGAAGGAAAAACAACAGCAGCACAAAGAUUUGCACCAGAGGGAUGCUGACCAUGGUGAGCCCGUCUGCAGACUUUCUCAGCCAUUCUCUGUCGGCCCUGAGGUUUAAAGGAUCCAGUGCAGAAAAAUCAGGCUCCAAAUGUGCGGCCCAAACUGCCCCAAAGGUGCAGAACUCUUUUCUGCCCCAAACACCAGGCGGAACAAAUGCUGUUAAUAACCCCAGCCCUUCCCUGGUCCACUCGGGGGCUGCAGGGUUGGAGUCAGCUCCUUGGAUGCAGCCAGCUGUUCCAAACAGGUUUGGGAAAGUGAUCUUUGGCACAGAAUGAAAAGGGUGUGUGUGUGUGUGUGUUGCAGGUGGGGGGGACCCAAGAGUCCUCUAUCAGGGCCAAUAUUAUUUUUAAUUGCUGAGAAUCAGCCCGUGGUGGCUGUUCCUCAAGGCUGCGGAGCCCGGGCUUGCCAGGGAGAGGAAACCAACUUCAGAGGAGGUAAGAAAGCCGGUCCCAAGGACUCUUCAUUAGCGACCUGUCGUUUCUUAUGGAAAAUCAGGUGACGCCUGGGAGUUUAUACAAUCCUCUCCCCGGCACCUCUCCCCCUUUCAUUCCCCUGGAAAAGGGGAGCAGUGAAUUUGAGCAAUCUGGGAAUUUUGGUUUCUGCCCUGCCCCUGAAGCAUGACCGAUGGCCCAUUUUUCAAGCCAAGUCUCACCCCUUGCAGGCAGCUGUCAGGAAACCACAGAAGGUGCUUGGAGGAGCACGAGAAAUGGCUGGUUCUAAUCUGGAGAAAAAAAUGAAUUAACAAGGCAGCUACUUAUGGAAGAAUGUUUUCUUUUCUUCAGCCUCAGCCUGCAUAUUUUCACAACAUGUGUACUCUGUUACCUUGUCACUUCCCUGUUUUCUUUGGGUAAAUAACUGGGCUCUGGUCUUAGGGGAAAAAAAGAAAAAAAAAAAAGAAAGAAAAAGAAGCCAGCUCGCGAAGGAUCUCUGGGAGAGCCCGCCUGGCUGCACUGGAGGGAAGAGUGCGCAUGCUCCAGGGAUCAAACAGGCCCGUUGUGGGUGGGGCUUCUCAUUGAACUUUGCGAGUCGUGUUCGGGAUCGGUGGAGGGAGGGGAGCCUGCGCACUCAGCCGUGGGGCUGACGGGCCCCACGGCUGGGGAAAAUAAAGAACUUUUCUCCUUCGCCAAA
Molecule: non-coding RNA, 2496 nt
Organism: Sus scrofa (pig)
Lineage: Eukaryota; Metazoa; Chordata; Mammalia; Artiodactyla; Suidae
Source: RefSeq, a predicted model, not a curated record